Molecule: long non-coding RNA, 217 nt
Filed under: Gallus gallus (chicken)
Lineage: Eukaryota; Metazoa; Chordata; Aves; Galliformes; Phasianidae
Source: RNAcentral
UGGCAGGCUCCUCUGGUGUGGCCCUUUCAGGCCGUCCAAGGGGACAGUAUGCUGUCACAGUGAUCCCUUUGGAUUGGCAAUAGUUGAUAAGCUUCUCCUGGGUGAGGUAUGGGUGACACUCAAUCUGGUUGUUUGCAGGCUUGUGUUUUAGUCCUGGCUUGUUCAAGAGUCUUUCAGUCUGCUCGUGGUUGAAGUUGGAGAUGCCAAUGGCUUUUAC